GACGAACGCUGGCGGCGUGCUUAACACAUGCAAGUCGAACGGAAAGGCCCUGCUUUUGUGGGGUGCUCGAGUGGCGAACGGGUGAGUAACACGUGAGUAACCUGCCCUUGACUUUGGGAUAACUUCAGGAAACUGGGGCUAAUACCGGAUAGGAGCUCCUGCUGCAUGGUGGGGGUUGGAAAGUCUCGGCGGUUGGGGAUGGACUCGCGGCUUAUCAGCUUGUUGGUGGGGUAGUGGCUUACCAAGGCUUUGACGGGUCGCCGGCCUGAGAGGGUGACCGGCCGCAUUGAGACUGAGAGACGGCCCAGACUCCUACGGGAGGCAGCAGGGGGGAAUAUUGCACAAUGGGCGGAAGCCUGAUGCAGCAACGCCGCGUGCGGGAUGACGGCCUUCGGGUUGUAAACCGCUUUCGCCUGUGACGAAGCGUGAGUGACGGUAAUGGGUAAAGAAGCACCGGCUAACUACGUG
RNAcentral lists this ribosomal RNA (468 nucleotides) under uncultured bacterium. RNAcentral describes it as "partial 16S ribosomal RNA". It matches the Rfam family "Bacterial small subunit ribosomal RNA", at positions 28 to 507 of the family's 1533-position model. The record is from RNAcentral.